Molecule: long non-coding RNA, 14422 nt
Filed under: Marmota monax (woodchuck)
Lineage: Eukaryota; Metazoa; Chordata; Mammalia; Rodentia; Sciuridae
Source: RNAcentral
AUUCUCAUGACUCCAUGUUAAUUGGAGGUGAGUAAAAGUGAAAAGUACAUUGUCAGGCUUGUUAAAAACUAUGUUCUUGGGGCUGGGGUUGUGGCUCAGAGGUGGUCUAGUAUGUGAGACACCCUGGGUUCAAUCCUCAGCAAUAUAUAUAUAUAUAUAUAUAUAUAUAUAUAUAUAUAUAUAUAUAUAUAUAUAAAAUAAAGAUACUGUGUUCACCUAUAACUAAAAAACAAAUAUUAAAAAAAAAUACAUGUUCUUGGACUGGAUGUGUAGCUCAGUGGUAGAGUGCUUGUUUAGCAUAGGCAAGGCCAGGUUCAAUCACCAGUUAAAUCACUGCCAAAAAAAAAAAAGUUUUCUUAUAUAAAUAAUAGAGAAAAAAAAGAAUUCAGGAUACUUCCAUAUCAAUGCAUAUCGAUGACAAUUUAAUGGUUAAUGGUUAAUGAUUUAAGUCAUGCAAGCAUUCACUUUUAGUGAAGAACAAGCAGGAACACUGAUUCUGAUGAAGAUGUAGAAAAACUAGGAAUAUCUUACAUUCCUGUGGGAAUGCAAUUGUUAAAGUGCUUUUAGAAAUUAGUUAAGUGUUUUGUGUUUACUCUUAAGACUCAGCAUUCCUAUUCCUGAGUAUUUAAAGAAAUAAAAGAAUACAAUCACACAAAAACCUUCAGCAAAUGUAUACUGCAGCUUUAUUCAUGACUAUGAAAAUACUCUGAAAACUUCCUAAAUAUUCUUCUAUUGGUAAAUAAACUAUGGUAUAGUCACAUAAUGGGAGUUUUCUUGACUAUAAAAUGGAUGAACUAUUAAUGCAAGCACCAACUUGUAUUAAUAUUAAAUGUGUAUUACUGAGUAAAAUUAACCAGUUUCAAAAAUUGUAUACCCUAUGAUUCAUUUCGAAUCAGAUUCUCAAAUAGAUGAAACUGCAUUGAGAGAGAGAGAGAGAGAGAGAGAGAGAGAAUAGAUAAGUGGUUGCUAGGGAGGGUGAAAGAGGGGAAAACUGUUGAAUAGCAGUUUCUGUGACUGACAGAACUAUUCUGUACCCUGAUUUUCAUAUUUGUUACACAAAUGCUCCAAUCAUAUGCACCCAAAUUUCAAAGUGAUUAUGUAAAAUAUCAUAUUUAAAUAAAAAGUAACAAAUUGUUGUACCUGGUGCUAAUAAUAUAGAGCACCACUUAGAAGUCCUAUUUUACUUCUGAAGAUAAUGCAUUCCACACAUAGGAAAAUUAUUCUGACUUAUUUACAAAGUGACAAGCAAAGCUGCUAACCUGAAAUGAUAUUUAUUAGAAGAAGGAACACUAGAGUAAGUACAUGUUGUGAUACAAGCAAACAUUCCACUUAGGGUUUAAUUUGACACCUUUUAAGGUAUUAAUAGAAGAUACUUUCUAGUAUUCAUGGUAUGGUACCUGUAGAAUGUACCACAAGCCACAAUUAAAAAUAUCACAGUUCAGAUUCUUAGACUUGAAGAACAAGUUCAUGUGACCAUACUCUCUAAAGUAAGGGGUUAAAACAAAAUAAAAUUAAAUGCAUCACCAUUAGGAUACUGGGUACUCUUGAACAUGAGGAACCUCACCAAAGAAUGUCAAAAGUUAAUGCAUCCAGAAUUGCCUGUGAUGAACUGGACUCCUUAAGUUCCAAAGUCAUAAAUUUUGGCUAGCUUAGCAGUACUUUGUAGGAAAAUUAAGUUCUAUAUCCAGAAGCAGGGAUGAGCUAAAAUUCUCCUGUGAAAGCUAUGUAAGUAAGCACCCCAAACAUUUAAAGUCAUUCACCACUACUUCAAAUGGAAAGAUCAGCAUGAGAAAGAGAGAGAAAAAAAGAAAGAGAGAGACCAUGCAUAUGGGGGGGGGGCAGGGGAGACAUAUUUUUAAUACUACCAAGAAUAGAAGAGGUGAUGGGGAAGUAAGAGGGAAAAAAAUCAAACAAUUUUCUAUAGUUCUUUUAUUCCCAUCUUCCUAAGCACCCAAAUUAGAACAAAUGUGUGAGAGGUAGGGGUAGACACAGAGAGAGAGAGAGAAAGACAGAGAGAAGAUAAGAGAGAAGAAAGAGAUGUGUUAUGUGGCCAUUAGAAUAAUGCUGGCUUGAUAACAUAAACUAGAAAAGGUUACUUCUGUUUUCCAGUGUUUCUGGAGAAGUGGUAGUUUUUCUUCUUAAAAGUAUUUUGUAGAUUUGUAAACCAAUUUUGGCUCAAAAUAUUCUUGUUUAGAAAAGCUGUUAACCACAAAUUUGUGUAAUAAAUAAAGGGCAACUUAGAUUAUUUAACUACACUUGAUUAAAUUUUGUUAAUUUGUGACACAGAAGAAAGGUAUUCAUUCAUUCCAUGUUGUAGAAGUCAUGAUUAAAGAGUUCACAAUAUUCCUCUAAAUUACUUUUGGUAUCUCUGGGACUGAUGGCAAUAAUGGUAAUUUUGGUCUUCUAUCUUUUCUUCUUGGUAGCUUGGCAUUAGAUUUAUCAUAAUCAUUUAUGCUGUUAUAUAACAACUUUUGUAGCUAGCCAGGGUGGUGCAAGCCUGUAAUCCCAGCAGUUUAGGAAGCUGAGAGAGGAGAAUUUUGAGUUCAAAGCCAGCCUCAGCAAAAGAGAGGCACUAAGUAACUCAGUGAGACCCUGUCUCUAAAUAAAAUACAAAAUAGGGCUGGGGAUGUGGCUCAGAGAUCUAGUGCUCCUGAGUUCAAUCACCAGUACUAAAGGGAGGAAAAUUAAGUUUUUAUGAGGUUUUUCAGGUAAUUAUGUUAAGUUUGAACUAUAAUAUAGUCAUCAAUGAUUUGCAUUUUCUUGAUAAUGGUAAAAACGUGUUACUGAUAUUAUAGAGAUUUUUUUUUUCAUCCUUUAUGUGUAUAUAAAUAUAAAUGUAUGGGAUACUUUUAUGACUAGAGUUAUCUGGUCCCUUGACUGUUUUCAGAUUUUUAUGUGGUUGUAAUGCAUACUGGCAUGUCCCAAUUUACUAUACUAUGUGAAUGACAUGCCAUUCUUAUCCUAUAAGCAAAACAGGUGCCUAUUUUUCCAUUAAUGUAAAGAAUUAGUGAAAUGUAAUGUAAUGGUUAAUGUAAAGAAUAAGUGAUUCCAUGACAAAUCUCAACUCAGUUACUGAUUGUUUAUACUAAAGGGACUUCUGCAGCUUUGUAUAUGAAGUACGAUGUCAUUUGUCUAAUGUUUGCAGAUUAGAUUUCCACAUGAUUUUUAUUUCUUCCUGUAAAAUACUGUUUCUACAGCAAUGUUAUGAAUUUUUGUCCUUCAUCAAAAUUAUUGAAUACUUGGAUUCUGAGAUUUGUGUCUUCUUUUUAACAUCUGUCUAUUUCAUAUCCCUGUGGCCAUGCCCUUAUUCAAACCUCUUCUUUUUAAAUUGUAUGCUAAUGUAAACUAUAUCAAUCACCCUCUAUGGUUCCCUUGGUGGCUGUGAUUACAUUUUCAGAUCAUACCUGUACAACCACACUUUAAUUAUCAAUUUAGUUGCUACUGGUCUGUCUUGUAAGACCUGUUUCUUCUGUGUUUAGUGCAAGGAUUGACUGACAGCAAGAUCAAUGGGAAAGAGUAAAUCAAUUCUGUAGUCUUUGUAAGAUGCCCUUAGUUAGUAUUGAGAACAUAUUUUUUAGUGACACUCACAAACUGAAAGUCUUACAUUUUAAGAAAAGAGCACUCACCAUGACUUUUCUAGUAGUUUGAUUUUUGAACUUCAUGAAUGUAAUUACAAUAAGUUGCCAUCUCCUGUGUUCUGUCCUAUCUCUUCCCCUUAUCCCUCAUAAAAUGAGAUGUAUACAUUUUUUUAAAUAAAAUGUAAAAUGUAUGAUUGCAGUUAUUAGCCCAGCAGUUCUAUUCUACUUCAAAUCAAAACCAUGAAUUCUUUCAAUAAUCUGAGAGAAAAUACAAUUUUCAUGAUAAUUUUAAAAACACAAGCAAUAAAAAGUAACUAUGUUGUACCUAAAUUAAUUUUAUAUGGACAUUUUUCUAAAAUGAUAGUUUAUAGAAAUAUUUAGCUGGCUAAUGCUUGUACUAAAAUCUAAUUUAAUAAAAAUGAAUGAACCACUUCUUAAUAUCCUAUGAAAUUCUAGGUUUAAAAUUUCACAAAACUAUUGACUCAAUUAUUCACCACCAGUGCUUUGGUGGAAAGAGAGUAAAGAAUAUUUUCCUCUCAUAGAGAAAUUAAUAACCUAUUUUUUGGACAAAGAAGAUACAUGACAUAUUUAAGUCUUACAAAUAAACAAAUUAUGUUUAUUUCAUGUGCAUAGAAUAAACAUGAUCUGACUGGUUCAUAACUUUUUCCCCCUUUUAUUCUUCUGGUACUACAGAAUUGAGCCUGAGGAUACUCUACCAUUGAGCUACAUCCCCAGUACCCUUUUUAAAAUUUUUAUUUUGAGAUAAGGUUUUACUAAAUUGUCCAAACUGGCCUUGAAUUUAGGAUCUUCCUGCCUCAACCUCCCUAAUUGCUGUUAAUUAAAAUGUGCUCUAUCUUCUCCAGGAAACUGUAUUUACAUUAGCUUUCCUUUACCCUGUUGAUAAAGCAGAGAUUCUGCCCUAGACUUUGGGAAGGUGGAGGAUACUCAUGUCAUUAGAGUCAUAUGGAAAUUAAACUCUGGAACAGAAGGAACAAGUAGAAGCUAUAUAGUAUCUAGAAGUGAUGUGAUGUACAAUUCCCUCAGAAGGGUAUCUUUCAAUAACCCAGCUGGCUAACAUGGAGCUGAAACAUGUAUACAGCAAUGAACAGGCCCAGUGUCUAUGCCCAUGAUCAGUAGGGUUGUCUGCAAGAAAUGCUCAUUGAAAGUGUGGGGGAUGGGAGCUUGUACUUGGGUCAUUCAAGGCUUUGGAGGUCUCAGAUGAGAAGGCAAAAGAUAAUAUUUAAUCAUAAUUUUUGGUAUUGCACCAACACAACUUUUGCCAUAUAGAUAAUUAGACAAAUAGUCAAGAAAAUAUUUACUUUUUUACUGAAAAUGUCACUUUUAUUUGUAUUUUAAAAAUCAUAUCAAUUGUCUCCUUAAUUGGAAAUUUAGGUAAUAGUAAGGUUAUAUUUCUUGAUUAUUGCCAAGAAUAUUUUUGUGUACCUUUAGUUAUGUCCAUGAUGCUAAUUUUUAAGGAAUGAUUCCUUUCCCCAUGUAACCUGUCCUUCCCACAGUAUUUGUCACAUAUGGCCACUCACUCUGUCUCAAGAUCACCUGUCUUCUGAGUUUCCAUUACACCACACCACUAGAUUUCUUUGUAAUCUGUUUCAUAAACUUUCUGUAAUGAUCUUCAACUUGUGAAUUUCCUUAAGACACAUGCUAAUAUUUUAAAUGAUUUAUUUCCAUCUUUCUUAGUACCCCAAAUCAGAACAAAAAACACUUUCUAAAAUAAUAAAACUCAUUUAAAAAUUUUUGGUGGUUAAGAUAAAAAGGUCAGCUUCUUUUUUAAUGCAAAUUCUAUAGUAGCUGGAAUUAAAGAAACACUUUUUAUGAACUAUGGCAUAGGUUAGAAAAUGAAUAGAAAUGAGUUCUCAUUGGCUGGCUAAUAUUCUAAUGAGAUAGAUUAAUCAGAUACUUAUAUAAAAUAACUACAUUUUCUUUUAUUAAUUCCUACAGUAUCUAUAAAAUCAAUAUUAAUAUGCACUAGAUGUUGAACUAAAAAUGUCACUGCUGUUUAUGGAUAUUAGACUGCGAUGAAGAACUAAUUAGAAAAAAAAUAUAUAAAUAAACAAACAGUGAAGACUCCUGUGAAGGAAAAGAUCCAGAAACUGUAAAAGGAACUAAUGGAAAAAAAUAAAUAAUUGUAGAUGGUAUACUCGAUGAAGGCCUCAAUUUAAAAUAUUGUAAUGUAAUUUUACAUAUAUAUAUGUAUAUCUUGACAUUUAUUGUUCUUCUGUAGCACAGGAGUUCAGUUGAUCUUAUCAACUGUUUUCCUUUUAAAGAUUAUAUACAGCCUUUUUCAAGUUUUUUAGCUUUGUUUCUUUUUUUCCUUUUCUCCUAUACUUACUUCACUUUGGCUACCAAGCACUUUUCACAUAUGGCCUCAAACUCAGUGCUUAUACAGUAUCUAUCUAUUGGUCUAUCCAUCCAUCCAUGUAUUGUGUCACAUCACAGCAUUUAAAAAUGAUUAUCAUAUUAUUUUCACUUAUCUGAAUCUUGUUUAAUAAUACCUUGGACAAAUAUCUGUUUUUUAAUUGGCAUGACUCUAAUCCAUUUAUUCAAAAAAUAAUGUAUAUUAUUCCUUAGAAUAAUAUAUAUAUAUAUAUAUAUAUAUAUAUAUAUAUAUAUAUAUACACACACGCAUAUAUAUGUAUACACACAAACACACAUGUAAUUUCCCUAUUGAUGUAAAUUUAUUCCCCUUUCAAGUUUUGUAAAUAUCAAUCAUUUUUUAUUAUGAACUAUGGGUCUUUAUUCUUUUAUUUACUUGUAUGAGAUCUACCCAAAGUUCAAUGUGUAUAAUGUCUUUGUGCUAUAAAUAGAUGUUGUGUAUGUUCCUUUCAAAAUGCAUGAAGUAUAACAUAUGCACCAGUAGGAGAACUUUCUCAGAGUAUCUCCAGGGAAAGUUUUUUUUUUUUUUUUCUGUUUCCUUCUAAGUAAUUUCAUUUCAGAGUAAUUGGAUACCAGUAGUUGUCACACAGUGUUACUAAAUAGGAAGUGUCCUUACAGGAUGGAAUACAGGAAUUCUUCCUUUGUGGUUAUAAUAUUUUUUUUCCACCAGAUCACUUAAUUUGUCAUUUAUUUUGCCCAUAGUUUGGGGCUGGGGCAUGAGUUCAAAUUUGCCUGAUGAACUUAUGCAAAAUAGGCCAUACUAAUAUUGUUGAACAUAUGUCAAUCCAGACUGCUACCAGGGAACAAGAAGUGAUGGGAAAGCAAGAGAAAAAAAUUCAAAUGAUUUUCCACAAUUGUCUUUAUUCACAUCUUUCUUAGCACCCCAAAUCAGAAUAAAAAUACUUCCUAAAAUAAUAAAACUCAUUUAAAAAUUUUUGGUGGUUAAGAGAAAAAGGUCAGCUUCUUUUUUAAUGCAAAUUCUAUAGUAGCUGGAAUUAAAGAAAUGCUGUUUUAUGACCUAGACAUAUGGCAUAGAUUAGAAAAUGGAUAGAAAUUUGUUCUCAUUGGCUGGCUAAUAUUCUAAUGAGAUAGAUUAAUCAAUGUAAACCACAUAGCUCUGUUGAAACUGCCUUUCUAAAUUGCCAAUUUCAUUUUCUUCCAGCAGAGAAAAUGCCAAUUUUUUCCUAUGUAGUAAAAUCUUCUUGUUAUAACAACUAAGCAACUCCAGAGUUACUGUUAUUGUGGAACAUCUGGUAACUACAAGAUGUGUCUCCUCAGAGAUAACCACAUAGCUACAAAAUAAGAAUGUCCUUAACCUAGCUGUAUUUCAUGUUUUGUUAUACUCUGGAGCAUGGCUGCCUCAUAAUACAGUAAUCACUUUUCUUCAGCACCAUAAAUGAAACCACAGAUGCUACAAUUUGCUAUAAUUGGAGCAGCUUACCAUAAAUAAAUAAUCAAAAUAACAAUAUAUGCAUAAACUUAUAAAAGUUGGAUUGAAAACAUUACAGAACAAUUACCUAAAUCAAAGAGUCCAUGCCUUUCACAUUUAUUCUUUAAGAAAUAAGGAGAUAAUUGACUGGGUCCUCUUACUAAACUAAUUUUUCCACAUUGUAUUAUUUACUUCAAAAGUCAACCCAACAAUGAAAUUUCAAAGAUUUAGAAGCAACUAUUUUUUGGGGGGGUGGGGGAGGCAGAGUGGAACAGUACUGGGGAUUGAAUCCAGGGGCACUUAACCACUGAACUCCAUUCAUGAGUCCUUUUUAUAUUUUAUUUAGGACAGCAUCUCGCUAAUUUGCUUAUAGCCGUGCUAAAUUGCUGUGGCUGAGAUCCUCCUGCAUCAGCCUCCCUAGCCACUGGGAUUACAGGCAUGUGCCACCAAUCCUAGCUAACUAAUUACUCUUAUAUAAUGGUCAGAAAUGAUUUAUAAAUUAUUUCAAGUCACUCCAAUUAUUUUCCAUGUUGCUACAGUUCUUUAUUAUUUUCUCUUUCUGAAAGCAUUUUAUAUCAUGCUUCUAAUAGUUAAUUAAAUUUUAUUUCAUCAGUUUCAAACUUCAAGGGACAAAUAAAAUUCUUGUGUAAUUUGCUAAAUUAUUAUACAAUUCAAAAUAAAUAUUUUUGUGUGACCUUUAAUUUAUAAACUUGUCUAUUUUUUAAUAAACCUAUGGACAUUGAAAGUAAAGCUAUAAGCAUUUUGGGUAUUAUAGAAAAAUAUUGAGGUAAUUCACUAUGGUCUUAAGUAAACUGUGUGCAAUAAUAUUUAAAUAUAUAUUGCUUAUAUAGUAAAUAUUGCACACAUAUUGUGUAGAUAAUAUUUGACAUGUUUAUAUUCAAUAAAAACUUUUGAUUAAUAACUUUCAAACAUUGAAAAAGCUAAAUAAUGCAUGAGAACAUUUUAAAAAUGUAUUUAUGUGGUAAUAUUGUACUUCUCACUAUGUUCAGAUUAACUUUACCCCUGAAAUGAAUGCAGGAAUAGCUUAAAUACUAUUCAAUGAAGAAAAGUCCAAAUAAAAGUUAUAUAGUAAUCAAAUGAUAAUAGAAAUAUUUUUUUCUGAAUUUCAACUUGGAACUGUUUUUUUUUUUUUUUUAAGUGAGUGCUUGGUCUAGAAAAUAAUAAGUGUGAGGGUGGUCUAUGUAUAUAAGUGAUGAAGAUUUGGCACCAGUACUUUAUUGACAAUAUGUUUCUUUGCAUUGGAACUUCUAACCAUAUGUUGUUCUUUUAUACUUGACUAGUUUAUCCUUUUCUUUUUUUUUAAGGUAAAUGGUUUUGAGAACUUAAGUCUUAGAGAGUUGUAAGGCUCAUCUUCAAUGAGCUUCCAAAGCCCUGAAAAUGAUCAGAACCACUGUGAAUACAAAAUAGUUUAUCCAAUUUGUCCCAAGUCCUCUACUUAUUUGUAAUCUUGGCAGCAUGCUUGGAUGUUUAUGGAAAAUUAUAUCUGAGAAAUAAAUCUUAACAGCUUUAAAUUUUGGAAAAAAAGAUUGUGCAUUAACAAUUUUAUACUUUUCACCGGUCUCUUAUGCAGUUUCCAGAUGUAGCACAUCCCUAGUACUUCCUAAUUUAUUCCUUAUUGAAAUUUUUCUGUACUCUUAAGGGACAAAUGACCAUUUGCACAUUGCAUAUAUUCCCAACUAUAUAGUUGUGUUAAUAUCUGUCUAUGUGAUAGAUAGCAAGUAGAAAUUACAUUUGAUAUGCUUUACUGCAUUUUGACUGUACAGUAGCUAAAUCGAAUGGAAGAAGCAAUAUUCAAAAUAUGUUGAACAGAAAAAUGAUGUAGUCCUUGAUUAUCUACACUUAAAUCAGGAACACAUUAAUGUAUUUACUCAUUUUGGUUUUCCAAUGAUUUUGCCUUUUUUUGUAUUCUUAGAAUUAUGUCUGAUUUUCCUUAAUCUAAAUUAAAUUCAAAAAUUGAGGAUCUAUAAAAUCUACCAUGCCCUCUAAUUCAGUUCCAAUUAAAAUAGUGUUUCUCUUUAUGCAUGGAAGGGAACAAUGUGUUCAUCUUAGUUAGUUAUCUAUUAAGAUUUGGUUUGUAUCAUUAAGACUCCUUCAAAGUAAGAGUUGUAAUUCUUCCGACUGAUGAAGCAGAUGCUGCAUUAAAAGAAUGUGAAAUGUGUCUCAUCAUUUUAUUGACUCAGAGCUCAUGAAGAUUCAGAGAGUUAUUAUCCUAUUCACAAAUGUCUUCUUCUUCAGUUAUGACAGACAUAAAUUAGCAAGGCCAGGACAAAGUAGUGCAAUUCAUGAUCAUUUUAAAUUAAAACAUCCUAAAUAUUUCUGAAAUGAAAAAUUCCAAGUACAAUCCAACAGAAUGGUUUUGCAGUCCAAUAGGUGACAUCAGAUUGUGCUGAGAAUACAGAUUAUGUAUUAUGUGCUCUUUAGACUCAAUCUGCUUUUUCUAUCAUCUGAUUAGUAUAGACAGGUAUUCAAGGAGGUGAAAAAUGUACAGUGAGCUUUAUUUUAGUUUUAAUAAAAUCAUUUCCUCCUUCUAGCAGUUUUCUAUCAUAUUAGUAAUGUUUCUUCAUAAUGCAUGAAUAUUAAGUUUGUCUGAUAUAAUACUAAAUUAUCUUAUUAAGAACUCACAUGUUAUAUAGUGGAAAAGAGAAGUAAUGGGAUAUAACACUAAUUCAAUUGAUGAAAGUUACUGAUACAGAAAAGCAGCUCAUUUUCCUACAAGGAUGUCAAAAAUAUUUAUCAUGCCUCACUUCAAAGAAUUUCUCUCUUAAAACCAAUAUUAUUUUUAGCUAAUUGUAUGCAGCGUAUUUAAAGAUAGUAAAGAGAGACAAGCUGGUGUAGAUACGACUGUAAUUGAGAGGGUAGCUGCUGAAUGAUUUAAGGAAUAUGCAUAAGGAAGACACAACUGAAGAAUAAAAAGUAGCACUGAAUACUCUAUGUAGGCUUCACAAUGGAAAUGGGAAAUAUUUGAAAGUGGAAAAUGUGCUACCUCAAAAAAAAAAAAAAAAAGGAAGAAUGACACAUAAGAAUGGCAAAGAUAAAUUGGUUUUGUAAUAACACUGGAGAUUAUUUUUUUUUAAAAAGUGGAAGUCAUGGCAAUGUCUCUAUUUCUAUUACUAAAAGGAUGCAUAUUUCUCAUCUAGUCCCAAUAUUUUCUCUCUGUGAUUACUUGGAUUGCUUUAUAUAAAGAACUUGAUACAUGCCCUUUGUCCUGGAAUGCUCAUCAUAACCUACACCAUCAUCUCUGUUAAAUGAAAAGGUCUUAUUUAUCUCUUCACUAAACUAAAUGUUUCACAUUUUCAGUUAUGAUGAAAAUUUUAUCCCUUAAUCAAAAUCAGAUAGCUUUUCUAGUUUUUAAACAAGGGAUCCAGGCAGUUUCUGUGUAUAUGGGGCUCUCAGUAAAGCAAAGGGAAGAGAUUUAUAGAACCUUAUAAUAAUGAAAAUAUUGUCUACAAUGAUAUGAAAGAAAAUAGUUUUAGAAUUAAAUAUGUAAUUAUGUAAUUUAUUUCAUCUGUCUCAACUACCACAAUUCCAGGUAUAAUAAAUCUGUUUUUUUUAAGUUCCCUCUAUUAUAUAUAUAAAAAAUUUACUACUAUAUAUUUCCCCAACUUCAUCUCAUAUUGUUAAGUUCCUUUCAUUCUUUUUGACUUGUACCUACAGGCUCAGUUUAAAUAUUGUCUUCUUAAAAUAUUUCAAAAACCUGAAAUUGAAUUAUGUUCUUUAUAAAUCACUUUAAGAAUUAUGACUUUAUAUUAUAGUUAUUUUUUAUGAUUGUUUCUCCUUCACUAGAUAAUAGUUCUGUGAGACAAGAAACAUGUUUCCCAUUCUCUGAUCAAAAAUAUCUAGAAAGGUGUAGAACUCAUAAUAUAUAUUUACUAAUUGCUUUAAUUUGAAUUGUCCACAGGGUCUCAAUGAGAAAUAUUUCACCAGAAAACUGUCAUCUCUGAUAUAUCCUUCACUAUUUUACAGAUUGACAUAUUAUGCUAAAAUAAAACUAAAUAAUCUUUUAAAAUGUCUUUCUCUGUCUUUUUGAUGCUUCUGCAUAUCACAUAUAAUCCCCUUUUAACAAUUCAUAAUUGCUUUAUACAAAACUUGCCUCUAAAGCAAAUGGACCUAAAACCACUAUUCCUAUUUAAUCUUACAUUUCUGUGCAUCUUGCAAAAGACUUCGUGAAAUGGCAUGCACAUGAGAGUGCUAAUAAACACCUGCUUAUUGAAUAAAGGAUCUUUCUAUAUUUGCUUAUGGAAAUUUGCAUUUAAUAAGCAAUUUAAAGUAAAAAAAAUAUGCAAGAGCAACUGACAUUUCAAUUGUGUAGUUUAAUAUUUUAUGUAAGGAAAUACCAUUACCAUUUGGGUAUCAAAGCAAAAUUGAUAUGUGUUAAAUCACAACAAAAGAGAUAACUUUUUUUUUUUUUUUUGCAAAACUGGAUUUAUGUUUGACUACUGGUCAUCUGGUUCCUUGUUUUAUUUUACAAGUUUAUUAUACUCCUCUUAGAAGUGAUGGAGAACUCAGUAUUAUAUUGAGAAAAAGUGGAUAAAGUAAACAUUUCAUAAAUUAAUUAAUUCCCAAAACAUCCAGUGAGAUGCAGAAAAAUUAUGAAAUAUUUUCAUAAAUGUUGACAUAAAGAGUUAGAAAUGUGGAUUUAUUAGUAGUUUCCUAGUUUAAAAAAAUGACUUAGAUUCAUUCUUAGUAGGAAUUUUCUUUUGAAUUGCAUUUUUCUUUUUUUAUUUGAACAUCUCUAUCCAAAUAUUCUAAGAAGAAGAAAUGAGUAAAAUAUUAAGGCUCCUUAAGCUUUAAGGUAAUGAAAAAUGAUUGGUUUUACCCAGAUGACUUUUUUUAAAAAAUUACAUAUGUUAGUUUUUACUAAGACGUGAAAAUCCAGGUAGGAAAAAUCUCAUUCAGUCUCUCAAUGCUUCACCAGUUGAAAAACUUUCUAUUAUAUUCAGUAAUGCUCAUCCUGGUUCCCAGACACUUUUCUUUGUAUGUAUAUAAGACAAGUUUUAAAAACUUAAAACUAAAGUACUAUUUGUUUAAAAUUCUAAGUUGAUUAUGAUUUGGUCUUAACACCUAGACUUUCUCCUUUUUUAUUUAGAUUUCAAAAAUAUUUCUUAGUAAAUCAUGACUAAGCCAUACUCUAUAAAAUAGAACAUACAUAUAUGCCUGUUUGUACCCUCAAAUACUGAUAAUCUAUUUAGUUAAAGAUUAUACAAAUAGAGCAUUUAUAUGAAAUAAAAUAAACACAUAAAAUAUAUGACUGCAUAAUUAAGAAAAUUCAACACACUUAUUAUCUUUCAUAGUUACAUUGAUACAGUUAUAACUCUAAAAUGAUAAUAUUCUAUCUUAAAUUACUUUUAAGGGUAUGUUUCAUACAAACUCCUGUCUUCAUUUAUUCUAAUCCCACUCAUCAUAUCUUUUAGAUUGAAACCUUAUCUUAAUUUUUUUUUUAAAUUUGGCCCAAUGAAAUAUUUUGAACAAUUUUAUUGUUGAUUAUAAUAUGUAUCAUUUCAUUAUGUCUUUAUUAGGGCAAUUCAUUAUUUGUCUUGCAGAGCACAAGUAUGCACUUUUUCUCUAUUAGCUUCCAAGACAUGAAAUUUUAUUAGACUACAUUAGCUUGUUUUAGUUCUAAAAGAAUAAUUUGUACUUCCACCUAGAGUGUUAAGAGUACUUGUUACUUUUACUUAGUAUUUUUCAACUUAAGUCAACCUGGUAGAUGUUUUUAUGUAUAUUGAGGAUGACUGAUAAAAUAUAAAUCAUUUUUCUUCAUUUAGUUAAUUUUAUGUUUAUUUCAUAAAGUUUUAUUUAUUUAUUUAUUUUCCCACAAAGAUCUUGUAUUCCUGUGGUCUUUAAUCUAGUUUGGAUUCAAACAAGAACACUGUACUCUAGAUAAUUAAAAAAUGAAUAUAUAUAUAUAAUUAUAUAUAUAGAUAUAUAUUAUAGAUAUAUAUUAUAUAUAUAAUAUAUGUUAUAUAUAUAUAAUUAUAUAUAUAUAUAAUUCCUAACAUAAGGAAUUAGAUGCUUAUAAAAUUAUCCAAUGGGCUAAAGGAGUAAUAAUCAAGAACAGAUAUCAUUACAGCUGUGGUUAUUAUCAGGAAAUAGCUGCUGACACUGUGUUUUAGUCAGUUUUUUUUUUUUUUUCAUUCCUGCAGCCAAAAGUCCUGAUAAGAACACUUGUAGAGAAGAGGUGAAGCAGAACAUGCAUCAUGGCAGCGGAGUGUUGCAGAGGAAAGGAGCUCAGGACAUUGUAACAGGAAUAGAGAGAAAGUCUACUCUAUUCACAGGGACAAAACACAUACCCCAAAGGUACACCCUAAAUGCCCAACACCUCCAGCCACACCCUACCUGCCUGCAGUUAUCCCCAGGGGAAUAAUGCACUAAUUAGGUCAAGGCUUUCUUUCCUAAUCCAAUCAUUUCAUCUAUAAACUUUCUUGAAUUGUGUCACACAUUAGUUUUUGAAGGACACUUAAUAUAUGAACCACAACACACUGGUUUAAAAAAAAAUCUAUGCUGGAAGUUAAAGAAAGGCCUUAUUCAAGAUUGUUGCAAAUAGCAGAGACACUGAAUUCAAAUACUCUGAAAGAAAAGGCAAGAAAUUAUUUAAAUUUUAAGAUGAGCUUUUACAGUUUGGAUAUGAAGUGUCCCCUAAUAUGAUUAGAUUUUUAGAGCUGUAACUUAAUUGGUGGGUUAAUCCAUUUAUAAUUUGAAGGGACUACUGUCCUGGGUGAUAACCACAGGUAGGCUUGGUAUGGCAGGAGGAAGUUAGUCACUGAGACGUGUGCCUUUGGGGUUUAAUUUUUGCUCCUGGCUCCUCUUGAACUUAAUUUCUGUUAUCUGGCUACUAUGAAAUAAACAACUUGUCUCAUUCAUGCCCUUCUGAAAAGAUACCCUUUUGUCUGGCCUUGGGCCCAGAGGCAUGGAAUUGGUGAACUAUGGACUGAAUCCAUGAAACCAAAAUAAAUUUUUCCUUUUCUAAGUUGUUUUUGUCAGGUAUUUAGUGAUAUCAACAAAAGCU